UACGUAGGGGGCAAGCGUUGUCCGGAUUUAUUGGGCGUAAAGAGCGUGUAGGCGCCCAUGCAGGUCCGUUGUGAAAACUCGAGGCUCAACCUCGAGACGCCGGUGGAAACCGUGUGGCUAGAGUCCGGAAGAGGAGAGUGGAAUUCCUGGUGUAGCGGUGAAAUGCGCAGAUAUCAGGAAGAACACCCGUGGCGAAGGCGGCUCUCUGGGACGUGACUGACGCUGAGACGCGAAAGCGUGGGGAGCAAACAGG
RNAcentral lists this ribosomal RNA (253 nucleotides) under uncultured bacterium. RNAcentral describes it as "partial 16S ribosomal RNA". It matches the Rfam family "Bacterial small subunit ribosomal RNA", at positions 524 to 776 of the family's 1533-position model. The record is from RNAcentral.